UACAGAGGGUGCAAGCGUUGUUCGGAAUCAUUGGGCGUAAAGGGCGCGUAGGCGGUUUUGUAAGUCGAAUGUGAAAGCCCAGGGCUCAACCUUGGAAGUGCAUCCGAAACUGCGAAACUUGAAUCCUGGAGAGGGUGGUGGAAUUCCCAGUGUAGAGGUGAAAUUCGUAGAUAUUGGGAGGAACACCGGUGGCGAAGGCGACCACCUGGACAGAGAUUGACGCUGAGGCGCGAGAGCGUGGGGAGCAAACAGG
This 253-nucleotide ribosomal RNA is filed under the name uncultured bacterium. RNAcentral describes it as "partial 16S ribosomal RNA". It matches the Rfam family "Bacterial small subunit ribosomal RNA", at positions 524 to 776 of the family's 1533-position model. The record is from RNAcentral.